RNAcentral lists this long non-coding RNA (609 nucleotides) under Vulpes vulpes (red fox). RNAcentral's name for it is "lncRNA (ENSVVUG00000015362.1)". The record is from RNAcentral. Lineage: Eukaryota; Metazoa; Chordata; Mammalia; Carnivora; Canidae.
CCGCGGCCGCGUCGCCCAGGCGGCGCUGUCUGUGGGCCCCGCGCCGGCGUGCGCCCUCCCACGCCCGGGUGCGCCCGCAUCCUCCGGCCUGGGCUGCGGCCGCCGCGCCGACGCUUCCUGUGCGCUUCGCCUAGCGCGCGUGCUGGCGGCACCGGACGACCCGACAGGCGCGUUCCCUCCGCGGAGCCCCGCAGGUGCUGGGGCGAGAUAGAGCCCUCGCGGCUGCUGCCGGAGAAAUGGCUCCUUACGGUCCGUGCCAUCCAUUCACCUCCGCACCCAGUAAGACAUCCAGUUUCCAAAGGAUUUGUGAUCUGCAACCCUCUGAAUCGUCUGACAUGCUAUCUUUGCCACUGCAACAAAGUCAACAUUGGUAGUUGUCGCUCUCCCAAGGAGUCCCAGAGCGAGCGUGCUAGAACGGCUGCCCCUGACCUCGGGCAGUUCAGAUUGAAUUGCUUCUGUACAAAACUCAGUUGCUUGAAGCACAGAAACUUGAAUUUCUCCAUCUCACACAUUCUGGAAGCCCCAAGGCACAAGCUGACAGUUUGCUUCUACAGAAAACUCUCACCCUGUUCUUGCAACAGUACGACCUGUUCCCACUACUGCACAUGA